RNAcentral lists this non-coding RNA (30 nucleotides) under Homo sapiens (human). The record is from RNAcentral. Lineage: Eukaryota; Metazoa; Chordata; Mammalia; Primates; Hominidae.
UGCUGACCUAAUGAUGAAUGCUGAGUGUGU